ACAACAUUCGGACCGUCGGUCUACCGAGCAAACAUCACCCGCUCGGUGGAAGAUCUUCCCUUUGUCGU
Molecule: non-coding RNA, 68 nt
Organism: Bombyx mori (domestic silkworm)
Lineage: Eukaryota; Metazoa; Arthropoda; Insecta; Lepidoptera; Bombycidae
Source: Rfam